RNAcentral lists this ribosomal RNA (407 nucleotides) under uncultured bacterium. RNAcentral describes it as "partial 16S ribosomal RNA". It matches the Rfam family "Bacterial small subunit ribosomal RNA", at positions 28 to 526 of the family's 1533-position model. The record is from RNAcentral.
GACGAACGCUGGCGGCGCGCUUAACACAUGCAAGUCGAGCGAAGCGGCGGACGGGUGAGUAACACGUGAGUAACCUGCCUUAGACAUUGGGAUAGCCUCGGGAAACCGGGAUUAAUACCAAAUGGUCUAACAUGGACUCGCGUCCAAUUAGCUAGUUGGUGAGGUAACGGCCCACCAAGGCGACGAUGGGUAGCCGGCCGUGGCGGGUGAACGGCCAACUGGGAAAUGAGAAACGGUCCAAAUGCUACGGGAGGCAGCAGUGGGGAAUAUUGCACAAUGGAGGGAACGCUGAUGCAGCGACGCCGCGUGAACGAAGAAGGCUUUCGAGUCGUAAAGUUCUUUUAUAUGGGCAGCGGACCCAUAAGAAAAAGCCCCGGCUAACUACGUGCCAGCAGCCGCGGUAAUAC